This 899-nucleotide ribosomal RNA is filed under the name uncultured Sphingobacteriia bacterium. Its description in RNAcentral is "bacterial SSU rRNA". It matches the Rfam family "Bacterial small subunit ribosomal RNA", at positions 70 to 969 of the family's 1533-position model. Lineage: Bacteria; Pseudomonadati; Bacteroidota; Sphingobacteriia. The record is from RNAcentral.
UUCAGGGUAGCAAUACCUGAUGAGAGUGGCGCACGGGUUGCGUAACACGUAUGCAAUCUGCCUUAAACCGGGGAAUAGCCCGUGGAAACAUGGAUUAAUACCCCAUAAUAUUACUGAUAGGCAUCUAUUGGUAAUUAAAGCUCCGACGGUUUAAGAUGAGCAUGCGCGUCAUUAGCUAGUUGGCGGUGUAAUAGACCACCAAGGCUACGAUGACUAGGGGGUCUGAGAGGAUGUCCCCCCACACUGGUACUGAGACACGGACCAGACUCCUACGGGAGGCAGCAGUAGGGAAUAUUGGGCAAUGGUCGCAAGACUGACCCAGCCAUGCCGCGUGCAGGAAGACUGCCCUAUGGGUUGUAAACUGCUUUUGUACGGGAAGAAACCCCUUUACGUGUAAAGGGCUGACGGUACCGUAAGAAUAAGGAUCGGCUAACUCCGUGCCAGCAGCCGCGGUAAUACGGAGGAUUCUAGCGUUGUCCGGAUUUAUUGGGUUUAAAGGGUGCGUAGGCGGAUUAUUAAGUCAGAGGUGAAAGCCGGCAGCUCAACUGUCGAAUUGCCUUUGAAACUGGUAGUCUUGAAUACUGUUGAGGUGGGCGGAAUGUAUCAUGUAGCGGUGAAAUGCUUAGAUAUGAUACAGAACACCGAUUGCGAAGGCAGCUCACUAAGCAGUUAUUGACGCUGAGGCACGAAAGCGUGGGGAUCAAACAGGAUUAGAUACCCUGGUAGUCCACGCCGUAAACGUUGAACACUUGCUGUUGGCGAUAUACAGUCAGCGGCUCAGCGCAAGCGUUAAGUGUUCCACCUGGGGAGUACGGCCGCAAGGUUGAAACUCAAAGGAAUUGACGGGGGCCCGCACAAGCGGAGGAGCAUGUGGUUUAAUUCGAUGAUACGCGAGGAAC